CAGGCCACAAUUCAAAAAAGACUUAAAUUUGUAUUGGGAAUAAAUGUUGAUGUGGUUAAACAAGGAAUGGGUUCCAGCAACAAUGGGAAUACAGCUCGACGAUUUUUUGAAAACCCUCAAAUUACAGCUGACAUAACAGGAGUAAAUGAGCAACUGAUUCAUCGGUUCAAAAUUAUAUUAUCCACAAUAACUUGCAGUCAGGCAAUAGACGCUGAGAAAUUCCAAAUAUAUUGUAUAGACACGGCAAAAUUGUACAUUGAUUUGUAUGGAUUUGAUUUUGAUUGANUGCCCAUCACAGUGCAUAAAGUUUUGAUACAUGGUAGCAAAAUUGUAUCUGAGGCCAUUCUACCUAUAGGAAUGUUAUCAGAAGAAGCGCAGGAAGCGAGGAACAAAGAUUAUAGACGUUAUAGGCUAUAUCACUCGCGCAAGACUGGGCGCUCUUCUACUAACGAAGACGUAAUGCAUCAUUUGUUGAUAUCCUCCGACCCAUACAUCAAUUCAUUUAGAACGAAAUUGAAGCUUAAAAAAUUAGAUUAUCACGAAGAUGUGAAAAA
Molecule: long non-coding RNA, 554 nt
Organism: Rhagoletis zephyria (snowberry fruit fly)
Lineage: Eukaryota; Metazoa; Arthropoda; Insecta; Diptera; Tephritidae
Source: RefSeq, a predicted model, not a curated record